CUUCUAACAUAUACAAAAAUUUUAGUACACGACAAUUAAAAACAUACUUUCAAGAUAUACAAGACUUCCAUUACACAACAAUUAAAAACAUACUUCCAAGAUAUACAAGACUUCUAGUACACAACAAUUAAAAACAUACUUUCAAGAUAUACAAGACUUCCAUUACACAACAAUUAAAAACAUACUUCCAAGAUAUACAAGACUUCCAUUACACAACUAU
Molecule: long non-coding RNA, 220 nt
Organism: Limulus polyphemus (Atlantic horseshoe crab)
Lineage: Eukaryota; Metazoa; Arthropoda; Merostomata; Xiphosura; Limulidae
Exons: 2
Source: RefSeq, a predicted model, not a curated record